UGAGUAAGCUGAAUGGUCGCAGGCAUUUAAUAUGCAUGAGGAAAGUCCGGGCUUCAUAGGGCAGGAUGCCAGAUAACGUCUGGUGAAGGCGACUUUAAGGAUAGUGCAACAGAGAUAUACCGCCUAUUUUAUAGGUAAGGGUGGAAAGGCGAGGUAAGAGCUCACCAGCAUCUAGGUAACUAGAUGGCUAUGUAAACCCCAUCCGAAGCAAAACCAAGUUAAGGGACUAAUAUGGCGGCCCGUCAUUCCCAAUAUGGUAGGUUGCUUGAACUCAUCGGUGACGAUGAGUCUAGAUAGAUGACCAUUGUAAACAGAACCCGGCUUAUUGGCUUACUCAAUAA
Molecule: RNase P RNA, 341 nt
Filed under: Andreesenia angusta
Lineage: Bacteria; Bacillati; Bacillota; Tissierellia; Tissierellales; Gottschalkiaceae
Description: RNase P RNA component class A
Rfam family: Bacterial RNase P class A
About the family: Ribonuclease P (RNase P) is a ubiquitous endoribonuclease, found in archaea, bacteria and eukarya as well as chloroplasts and mitochondria. Its best characterised activity is the generation of mature 5'-ends of tRNAs by cleaving the 5'-leader elements of precursor-tRNAs.
Source: RNAcentral